RNAcentral lists this unclassified non-coding RNA (235 nucleotides) under Hevea brasiliensis (rubber tree). Lineage: Eukaryota; Viridiplantae; Streptophyta; Magnoliopsida; Malpighiales; Euphorbiaceae. The record is from RNAcentral.
AGGGUUUCAUAUUCAUGGAAAGGUGUUUGAUGGAAACAUAUGGAAAUACACAUGCGAAAACCAAAGCAUUGUCUGGAAAGGAAAAGUAUAAUGAGUAGUGGAUUUUAAUAUUAGUUAAGUGAAGUGCGUGCCUCUAGAUUUGAGCCAGUUCUAAUAGUUGGAGAUCCCAUGACAUUCUUGGAAGAUUGUAUGACUUCUUGUCCAUUGGCAUAGUGGUGGCGGCACACCGGCAUAU